CCCGUACUGAAGCUGGCAAGCUGCGACUGUACUCUGGAGUCGGCUUAUAAAUGGGUCAUCUGAGUCCCUCAGAGAGAUCCUGUUUGAGGAAAUGUGUCCUUCACGUCACAAGCAGACAGAUGGUUGGCUCAGGUCUAAGGUCUAUCUGCUUCUGAGUAUCCUGUUUCAAGACCUGCCAGCAUGAGAUACUUCAGAGGAAGGUGUAAGAACCUGCAGAAGCUAAAUGGGGCAUAAUUUGCCUCCUACAUUAGGCCUCAAGAUGAUCUCUAAUCGAGAUUGCCUUAAUCCCUGAAGCCUGAGGUUUAACAGCCUUUUCAAAUUAGCAUAAUAAAUUCUGAUAACUCUGUAUUUCUUUAUAGAUGUACAAAUAUCCAAUCCCUUUUUGAAUAUGAUAAUUUGUUUACCUAAUCUGGGCUGGGGAAUCCAACUACAGAAUGACAGAAUGUUUGGAUCAGGAGAUGAAUUCUUUCUAAAUCUGGAAGUUUAGAUUUAACAUUUUAGUUCAAACCCUCUUUAGUUUCAUUGUGUCCCUUCUGUAUAGCCUAUGGAUUGGUUACAACAGUGAAAAUAAUAUAUACUAUAAAGAUAUCUGAUGUGUGUCAAUGUUGGCGUUCUUUUACA
This is a non-coding RNA of Pelodiscus sinensis (Chinese soft-shelled turtle), 621 nucleotides long. The record is from RefSeq and is a predicted model, not a curated record. Lineage: Eukaryota; Metazoa; Chordata; Testudines; Trionychidae.